Molecule: non-coding RNA, 1570 nt
Organism: Chiloscyllium plagiosum (whitespotted bambooshark)
Lineage: Eukaryota; Metazoa; Chordata; Chondrichthyes; Orectolobiformes; Hemiscylliidae
Source: RefSeq, a predicted model, not a curated record
UUCAUCGCCUCUGGUCUGUGCAAUUUACCCACAGGCAUGGUUUGAUAUAUUCGGUUUUUAAAUAUUACAAAGACGAUACUGUUUUAGCCUCUGUAUUUUUCUCUCCCUAUUAACAGAACUCUGAUUGAAAAGGCACAAAGCAAAUUCCAUGGUUUCAGAGCGGGCCGAGCUAACCCAGUGAUUUGCAGAAUAUAUGGUGACUGGCAGCAGAUUCUUGUGCUUGUAAAUAAUUACUGAAUAUCAAAGUAAAAAGACACAAACUCCGGGCAUCAGUCCCCAGACAGGUCAGCUCAGAGCCUGUUGAAAUCUCCAGAAAGUGAAACCGUGGGAACCUCCUGCCUGGAAGGAAGAUUCAGCAGCCUAUCCUCAACGCCAAUCCCAGAAACCUUACUUCUCAAUCUCCACGUUAUACAUUCCUCGGUUCCCAUAAAGACAUCCCUAAUCUCGAUUCACAGUCUUUAUGAAACUAUGUCCCAACGCACUGGCAGAGAAAUCUGAGGUUGCAUGGACACAAAUCUUUGAAAUGGCAGUACACAAGAAUUAGUUUGUUUUUAAAAAUAUGUACAAGAUCCUGGUGUUUCAGACGUAAAUGCAGUGAGAUCGCAAAAACAAGGAAGUUGUAAAUCUCUGGCUUGGCCCCAGCUGCAGGGUUUGUGUCUAAUUCUGACUGCUGCAUUCUCAGAAGGAGAGGGUACAGGGGAGAUGGAGCAGACUGAACACUGGGAUUCGGCAUCGCAGUAACAUGAGAGACUGGGAGGAUGGCAACGCUCCCGGGAUACAGCUCCAAGAGGAAUGUGACUGGAAAUGAUGCACAUUCUGAGGUUGGAGUAACAAGGGAGAAACUAUUUCAGGAGACACAGUUACAACAAUUGCUCCGAUCCAGAACACUCAAACCUGCUUGGAGAAACCCACCUCUUUCAAACACUCGAGGUGAAGCCAACUCAACUAAGCCCUGUGACUGUUACUAAGCCCCCACUUACCUCAAUAAUAGUCAGCCAAGAUUGCACUCGGGUUAUUAAUCUCUGCGGAAAUUGUAAUGGAAGCAUCAUAUCCAGACACCAAUUCCUGCUGAGGGAGCAGAGAUGGUGAAGAUUGUACAGCUGCUCAGCAGCAGUGGCAUCAUAAAUUGUUCAGACCCAUGGAUCUCACAACUGACCAGAUUCACAGGCUGAGAGUCGUUUCUUCAUUAAACAGAAAGCUGGAGCAUGACUGGAAUGAGAUCUUUAUGAUGAUAAAAGGAGUUGGAUAGUUUCUAUGAGAGUGUAACCAACUAUCAUCAUUUGAUUUUAAUACCUGGAAACUUUCCUGGACCAAAUGCUUUAAAAAAAGGAAACAAAAUAUUGCCUUAAGAUGGCCACCGGCCACCAUGAAACCAUCCACUAAUAAGAAUCAGAACUGAAAUUGACAAGACUAUAAGAAGGCUUUGAAACUCACUUGUGUCUCUAGCUUGAUUCCAAUUGUUCUGGAAGUUUCAUGUAUGGGAAUGAAAGUCACCUGCAGUUUUAAAAAAGCCAGAAAUGGAAAUGAUUUGUGAGCAGUAUUUCAGCAACAGCAUUUGGGCAGAGAGCAA